RNAcentral lists this ribosomal RNA (254 nucleotides) under uncultured bacterium. RNAcentral describes it as "partial 16S ribosomal RNA". It matches the Rfam family "Bacterial small subunit ribosomal RNA", at positions 524 to 776 of the family's 1533-position model. The record is from RNAcentral.
UACGUAGGGUGCAAGCGUUGUCCGGAAUUAUUGGGCGUAAAGAGCUCGUAGGCGGUGCGUCGCGUCGGCCGUGAAAACCUGCAGCUUAACUGUGGGCGUGCGGUCGAUACGGGCAUCACUGGAGUUCGGCAGGGGAGACUGGAAUUCCUGGUGUAGCGGUGAAAUGCGCAGAUAUCAGGAGGAACACCGGUGGCGAAGGCGGGUCUCUGGGCCGAUACUGACGCUGAGGAGCGAAAGCGUGGGGAGCGAACAGG